RNAcentral lists this ribosomal RNA (443 nucleotides) under uncultured bacterium. RNAcentral describes it as "partial 16S ribosomal RNA". It matches the Rfam family "Bacterial small subunit ribosomal RNA", at positions 338 to 795 of the family's 1533-position model. The record is from RNAcentral.
CCUACGGGAGGCAGCAGUGGGGAAUAUUGGGCAAUGGAGGCAACUCUGACCCAGCAAAGUCGCGUGAAUGAUGAAGGUCUUCGGAUUUUAAAAUUCUGUGAUGGGGGAUGAACACAAUGACGGUACCCCAAUCGCAAGCCAAGGCUAACUACAUGCCAGCAGCCACGUUAAUACGUGGGUGGCAUGCGUUCUCCGGAAUGCCGGGGCGGAAAGGGUGCGUAGGUGGUUUAGUAAGUUGGCGGUGUAAUUCCGGGGGUCAAACUCGGCGCUACCGCCAAAACUAGUAGACUAGAGUGCAGGAGAGGUAAGUGGAAUUCCUAGUGUAGCGGUGGAAUGCAUAGAUAUUAGGCAGAACAUCAGGGGCGAAGGCGACUUACUGGACUGUAACUGACACUGAGGCACGAGAGCGUGGGUAGCAAACAGGAUUAGAUACCCUUGUAGUC